Molecule: ribosomal RNA, 745 nt
Filed under: uncultured Bacillota bacterium
Lineage: Bacteria; Bacillati; Bacillota
Description: bacterial SSU rRNA
Rfam family: Bacterial small subunit ribosomal RNA
Source: RNAcentral
GGUCCGGGCGUUAUCCGGAUUUAUUGGGUUUAAAGGGAGCACAGGCCGGCUGUCAAGCGUGUUGUGAAAUGUAGGGGCUCAACCUCUGACUUGCAGCGCGAACUGACGGUCUUGAGUACGCACAACGUUGGCGGAAUUUGUCGUGUAGCGGUGAAAUGCUUAGAUAUGACGAAGAACUCCGAUUGCGAAGGCAGCUGACGGGAGCGCCACUGACGCUUAAGCUCGAAAGUGCGGGUAUCGAACAGGAUUAGAUACCCUGGUAGUCCACGCCGUAAACGAUGAGUGCUAGGUGUUAGGCCCUUUCCGGGGCUUAGUGCCGCAGCUAACGCAUUAAGCACUCCGCCUGGGGAGUACGACCGCAAGGUUGAAACUCAAAGGAAUUGACGGGGGCCCGCACAAGCGGUGGAGCAUGUGGUUUAAUUCGAAGCAACGCGAAGAACCUUACCAGGUCUUGACAUCCCAGUGACCGCUCUAGAGAUAGAGUUUCUCUUCGGAACACUGGUGACAGGUGGUGCAUGGUUGUCGUCAGCUCGUGUCGUGAGAUGUUGGGUUAAGUCCCGCAACGAGCGCAACCUUUAUUGUUAGUUGCCAUCAUUCAGUUGGGCACUCUAGCGAGACUGCCGGUAAUAAACCGGAGGAAGGUGGGGAUGACGUCAAAUCAUCAUGCCCCUUAUGACCUGGGCUACACACGUGCUACAAUGGUUGGUACAACGAGUCGCAAGUGCGGUGACGGCAAGCAAAUCUC